GGGGGCCCGCAAGGGCAACCGGCAGACGAGGUAGUAAGGCGCAGGGAGAUACCCUAAAGUCGGGCAUAGCCAGCCGAAAGGUUGGGUAAUUCCCGAUGGUCCCGUAAGGGUAAAGGUUUUCCGCUUUGGGAGUCACCUGCGUAAUAUCAGCUAGUUGGUGAGGUAAUGGCUCACCAAGGCUACGACGUUUAGGGGAGCUGAGAGGCUGACCCCCACCGAUGGGACUGCGACACGGCCCAUACUCCUACGGGAGGCUGCAGCCGAGAAUAUUCGACAAUGGGGGAAACCCUGAUCGAGCGACGCCGCGUGAUGGAUGAAGUGCUUCGGUACGUAAACAUCUUUUAUCGGGGACGAAAUAAGUGACGGUACCCGAUGAAUAAGGGGCUCCUAACUCUGUGCCAGCAGGAGCGGUAAUACAGAGGCCCCAAGCGUUACCCGGAAUCACUGGGCGUAAAGGGUGUCCAGGCGGCCGUAUUAGUCGUUUGUAAAAUCCGCGGGCUUAACCUGCGGUCCGCAAGCGAAACGGUACGGCUCGAGGGCGCGAGAGGUGCAUGGAACUCAUGGUGGAGGGGUGAAAUCCGUUGAUAUCAUGGGGAACACCAAAGGCGAAGGCAGUGCACUGGCGCGUUCCUGACGCUCACACACGAAAGCCAGGGGAGCGAACGGGAUUAGAUACCCCGGUAGUCCUG
Molecule: ribosomal RNA, 689 nt
Filed under: uncultured bacterium
Lineage: Bacteria
Description: bacterial SSU rRNA
Rfam family: Bacterial small subunit ribosomal RNA
Source: RNAcentral